RNAcentral lists this ribosomal RNA (484 nucleotides) under uncultured bacterium. Its description in RNAcentral is "partial 16S ribosomal RNA". It matches the Rfam family "Bacterial small subunit ribosomal RNA", at positions 29 to 507 of the family's 1533-position model. The record is from RNAcentral.
AUUGAACGCUGGCGGCAUGCUUUACACAUGCAAGUCGAACGGCAGCGCGGGCUUCGGCCUGGCGGCGAGUGGCGAACGGGUGAGUAAUACAUCGGAACGUGCCCAGUAGUGGGGGAUAGCUCGGCGAAAGCCGGAUUAAUACCGCAUACGACCUGAGGGUGAAAGCGGGGAAUCUUCGGACCUCGCGCUAUUGGAGCGGCCGAUGGCAGAUUAGCUAGUUGGUGGGGUAAAGGCCUACCAAGGCGACGAUCUGUAGCUGGUCUGAGAGGACGACCAGCCACACUGGGACUGCGACACGGCCCAGACUCCUACGGGAGGCAGCAGUGGGGAAUUUUGGACAAUGGGCGAAAGCCUGAUCCAGCAAUGCCGCGUGUGUGAUGAAGGCCUUCGGGUUGUAAAGCACUUUUGGCGGGAACGAAAAGGACUGUGCCAAUACCACGGUUCGAUGACGGUACCCGCAGAAUAAGCACCGGCUAACUACGUG